This 468-nucleotide ribosomal RNA is filed under the name uncultured bacterium. Its description in RNAcentral is "partial 16S ribosomal RNA". It matches the Rfam family "Bacterial small subunit ribosomal RNA", at positions 28 to 507 of the family's 1533-position model. The record is from RNAcentral.
GACGAACGCUGGCGGCGUGCUUAACACAUGCAAGUCGGACGGAAAGGCCCUGCUUUUGUGGGGUGCUCGAGUGGCGAACGGGUGAGUAACACGUGAGUAACCUGCCCUUGACUUUGGGAUAACUUCAGGAAACUGGGGCUAAUACCGGAUAGGAGCUCCUGCUGCAUGGUGGGGGUUGGAAAGUUUCGGCGGUUGGGGAUGGACUCGCGGCUUAUCAGCUUGUUGGUGGGGUAGUGGCUUACCAAGGCUUUGACGGGUAGCCGGCCUGAGAGGGUGACCGGCGACAUUGGGACUGAGAUACGGACCAGACUCCUACGGGAGGCAGCAGUGGGGAAUAUUGCACAAUGGGCGGAAGCCUGAUGCAGCAACGCCGCGUGCGGGAUGACGGCCUUCGGGUUGUAAACAGCUUUCGACUGUGACGAAGCGUGAGUGACGGUAAUGGGUAAAGAAGCACCGGCUAACUACGUG